This 1443-nucleotide ribosomal RNA is filed under the name uncultured organism. RNAcentral's name for it is "SSU rRNA". It matches the Rfam family "Bacterial small subunit ribosomal RNA". The record is from RNAcentral.
GAACGCUAGCUACAGGCUUAACACAUGCAAGUCGAGGGGCAGCAUGGUCUUAGCUUGCUAAGGCCGAUGGCGACCGGCGCACGGGUGAGUAACACGUAUCCAACCUGCCGUCUACUCUUGGACAGCCUUCUGAAAGGAAGAUUAAUACAAGAUGGCAUCAUGAGUCCGCAUGUUCACAUGAUUAAAGGUAUUCCGGUAGACGAUGGGGAUGCGUUCCAUUAGAUAGUAGGCGGGGUAACGGCCCACCUAGUCUUCGAUGGAUAGGGGUUCUGAGAGGAAGGCCCCCCACAUUGGAACUGAGACACGGUCCAAACUCCUACGGGAGGCAGCAGUGAGGAAUAUUGGUCAAUGGGCGAGAGCCUGAACCAGCCAAGUAGCGUGAAGGAUGACUGCCCUAUGGGUUGUAAACUUCUUUUAUAAAGGAAUAAAGUCGGGUAUGGAUACCCGUUUGCAUGUACUUUAUGAAUAAGGAUCGGCUAACUCCGUGCCAGCAGCCGCGGUAAUACGGAGGAUCCGAGCGUUAUCCGGAUUUAUUGGGUUUAAAGGGAGCGUAGAUGGAUGUUUAAGUCAGUUGUGAAAGUUUGCGGCUCAACCGUAAAAUUGCAGUUGAUACUGGAUAUCUUGAGUGCAGUUGAGGCAGGCGGAAUUCGUGGUGUAGCGGUGAAAUGCUUAGAUAUCACGAAGAACUCCGAUUGCGAAGGCAGCCUGCUAAGCUGCAACUGACAUUGAGGCUCGAAAGUGUGGGUAUCAAACAGGAUUAGAUACCCUGGUAGUCCACACGGUAAACGAUGAAUACUCGCUGUUUGCGAUAUACAGCAAGCGGCCAAGCGAAAGCGUUAAGUAUUCCACCUGGGGAGUACGCCGGCAACGGUGAAACUCAAAGGAAUUGACGGGGGCCCGCACAAGCGGAGGAACAUGUGGUUUAAUUCGAUGAUACGCGAGGAACCUUACCCGGGCUUAAAUUGCAGAUGAAUUACGGUGAAAGCCGUAAGCCGCAAGGCAUCUGUGAAGGUGCUGCAUGGUUGUCGUCAGCCCGUGCCGUGAGGUGUCGGCUUAAGUGCCAUAACGAGCGCAACCCUUGUUGUCAGUUACUAACAGGUUCCGCUGAGGACUCUGACAAGACUGCCAUCGUAAGAUGUGAGGAAGGUGGGGAUGACGUCAAAUCAGCACGGCCCUUACGUCCGGGGCUACACACGUGUUACAAUGGGGGGUACAGAGGGCCGCUACCACGCGAGUGGAUGCCAAUCCCCAAAACCUCUCUCAGUUCGGACUGGAGUCUGCAACCCGACUCCACGAAGCUGGAUUCGCUAGUAAUCGCGCAUCAGCCACGGCGCGGUGAAUACGUUCCCGGGCCUUGUACACACCGCCCGUCAAGCCAUGGGAGCCGGGGGUACCUGAAGUGCGUAACCGCGAGGAGCGCCCUAGGGUAAAACUGGUGACUGG